UUUUUUCUAUUCGUCACAUUUAUUUGAGAUUAAUUGUCAUUUAUAAUACUUUUAAACAAAUAUUUAGCAACUACAAUCUUAAUACUUAUAACUAAGUAUAGUUUUCUUUUUAUGAUUAAAAAAUAUCUUUUGCUUACAUAAGUAAAAAUACAGACAUGUUUCAUACAUUUUUACAUAUUCUUUUUUUGUUUGACAAGUAUUUAUAAAUUAAAAAAUAUAUAUCUAUACGAAUAAAUAAAAUUGGAGUGUCUAUUUGUAAUAUUUUUAACUUAAAACACUUUAUACUAAAUGCAUAUGGAUGUAUACACGAUACAUACCUUAUAGACAUCCAUAUGCAUUUAGUACCCUUCUGAAAGUUCCAAAUAAAAAACGAUGAUUGUAUGAGAAGUUAUUGUAAACUAUUGUGUGUUUGAAACAGGUAUUUCCAAAAUGUUCAUACAAUUUUUAUCUGUUUUAUCUUGGCUAUCUGGAUUCCAAAUAGAAAGAAUUUUGAAGUCCCCAUUUCAAACACACAAUAGUUUACAAUAACUUCCCAUACAAUCAUCGUUUUUUAUUUGGACUUUCAGCAGGGUAUACCAACAUAAAAUUCUUCACAAUUUUUGUCUGUCUGUCUGUCUGUUUGUUCCGGCUAAUCUCUGAAACAGCUGGAAAGAUUUUGACGGGACUUUCACUGGUUUAUUUAGAAAUUUAUUUAUUUUAUAGUUCUGGGAACUGAACAAUAGCUUUUUUGUUAUAUGCUACGCGGACGAGAUCGCGGGCACAGCUAGUAUGUAUGUAGUGUGUAUGUAACCUUAAAUAAUUUUACGGCUAUACAUACAAUAACUAUCCUCCUACCCGCAUUGGAGCAGCGUCGUGGAUUAAGCUCUGAUUCUUCUCUUACAUAGGGAAAGAGGCCUAUGCCCAGCAGUGAGAUUUUU
Molecule: unclassified non-coding RNA, 917 nt
Filed under: Melitaea cinxia (Glanville fritillary)
Lineage: Eukaryota; Metazoa; Arthropoda; Insecta; Lepidoptera; Nymphalidae
Description: misc RNA ENSMCXG00005014217.1
Source: RNAcentral